CAUACGCUUCAUUGAUCUCUCUCAUAAUAAGCUGGUUGGGACAUUCCCCAGUUGGAUCUUACAAAAUAACUCUAAGUUAGAAAUUAUGAAUUUGAUGAACAACGCAUUCAAGGGAACUUUUCAGUUGCCAAAUUUCAAGCAUGGGUUGCGUAAAUUUGAAAUUUCAAGCAACAACAUCACGGGUCAGCUGGCUAAGGAAUUUGGUUUGGUCUUUCCAAAUCUGUCAUAUAUAAACAUGUCAAGGAAUAGUUUUUAUGGUAACAUUCCUUCUUCAAUUGGUGAGAUGCAAGGACUGGAGUUGCUGGAUAUGUCCAAUAAUAAUUUCUCAAGAGAGUUGCCUGGAAGUCUAUUUGUGAAUUGUACCAAUAUAGUGGUACUGAUUCUAUCAAACAACAAUUUUCAAGGGAACAUUUUUCCUAACAAUAUGAACUUGAGAAGCUUGAUGGUGUUAGAUAUGAAUAACAACAAUUUCACUGGAAUGAUAAGUGCAGAGUUGGGGAAGAUCCCCAUGUUACAAGUUUUGGACAUAUCCAAUAACAAGGUAUCAGGUACAAUUCCAAUGCAACUAUGUAAUCUAAGCAAUCUUGACAUUUUAGACCUCUCACAAAAUAUUUUAUUUGGGUCUGUGCCUUCCUGCUUCAAUGCUUCAUCACUGCGGUUCUUGUUUCUACAAAAGAAUGGUCUAAAUGGGUUGAUACCACCUGUGCUUGCUAGGAGUCCUAAUUUGGUGGCGCUUGAUCUGAGGGAUAACAAGUUUUCUGGAAGUAUUCCGUCUUGGAUCAGUCAACUUUCCAAAUUGCUUGUGCUUUCAUUGGGAGGGAAUGCAUUACGAGGUCAUAUUCCAAACCAGUUGUGUCAAUUAAGAAAUGUGAGAAUUAUGGACCUUUCGCGCAACUUAUUUUUCGGUUCCAUUCCUUCAUGCUUUAAUAAUGUAUCAUUUGGGAUGAUUGGCGAAGAUAAUUUUGAGACUGGAUCCAUAAGUGCGGUAGAGGCCACAGAGAGUAGACAUAUAGGUAUGCAGGACUUCUCAUUUAGCCGCCCUUAUAGUCCCUACAAUUCCACUCUUGAAUUAGAUUUGCCUGUGCUUUCUUGGUCUUCUUCUAAAGAAGUAGAAGUGGAAAUUGCAAUGAAGUAUAGAUAUAACUCCUACAAGGGCUAUAUUAUCAAUUUAGUGGCGGGAAUUGAUUUGUCAUGCAAUGAGUUAACUGGUAGCAUCCCUCCAGAAAUUGGAGACCUUCAUGAAAUUCAAUCAUUGAAUUUGUCCCACAAUUAUUUAACAGGAUCUAUACCAGUCAGUUUUGCGAAUCUAAAGAGUUUAGAAAGCCUAGACCUUGGCAAAAACAAUUUGAGUGGUGAAAUCCCAAGACAAUUAGUUGAGCUGAAUUUUUUGGGAACUUUUGAUGUUUCAUACAAUAAUUUGUCUGGUAGAGUCCUUGAUAAGGGGCAAUUUGGGACAUUUGAUGAAUCUAGUUACAGAGGUAACCCUGGCCUUUGUGGACCAUUCAUUCAUAGGAGCUGCAAUGCUGAUGAAAGUCCAGCAACCUCACCAUUGAUUGAUGUAGAAGAGCAAGACACUGAAGGUGGUAUUGACAUGGUGUGGUUCUAUUGGAGUUUCAGUGCAUCCUAUGUCACAAUCCUAUUCAUAUUGAUAGUAAUUCUCUGCAUCAACAGGCAUUGGCGCAUGUAUUGGUUUUACUUGGUUGAUGCCUGUAUUUAUUUUAUUUCCAUUCGGCUUUUUGGAACUGAUUGUCUAUGCGUGUAGGGUGAUGCUAGGGCUUGAAGAAAAGGAGGGAUACAUGUGUCAAUUUUUGCAUAUGCUCAACCAUUAAUUGUUGAGUUUCUCUGUUUCAGGUGUAUUAAUAAUGCCUAAAAUGUUCCUCUGUAUUAGGCUUGUCAUGCACUCUUGUGAU
RNAcentral lists this unclassified non-coding RNA (1910 nucleotides) under Hevea brasiliensis (rubber tree). The record is from RNAcentral. Lineage: Eukaryota; Viridiplantae; Streptophyta; Magnoliopsida; Malpighiales; Euphorbiaceae.